RNAcentral lists this ribosomal RNA (235 nucleotides) under uncultured Candidatus Saccharibacteria bacterium. Its description in RNAcentral is "partial 16S ribosomal RNA". It matches the Rfam family "Bacterial small subunit ribosomal RNA", at positions 584 to 818 of the family's 1533-position model. Lineage: Bacteria; Candidatus Saccharimonadota. The record is from RNAcentral.
UAAGUAAGAUGUGAAAUAGUUGGGCUCAACCCGACUGCUAUAUUUUAAACUGACAAACUUGAGUAUAUGAGAGGUGCCUAGAAUUCCUAGUGUAGGAGUGAAAUCCGUAGAUAUUAGGAGGAAUACCAAUGGCGUAGGCAGGGUACUGGCAUAUUACUGACACUGAGGCACGAAAGCGUGGGUAGCGAACGGGAUUAGAUACCCCGGUAGUCCACGCCGUAAACGAUGGAUGCUA